Long non-coding RNA from Equus asinus (donkey), 4799 nucleotides. Lineage: Eukaryota; Metazoa; Chordata; Mammalia; Perissodactyla; Equidae. The record is from Ensembl.
CAGAGGCGCGCCCUCGCCUCGGCGUCCGCCUCUGGGGACUGACGCGACGCCUCCUUUCACCGUCUGUGGACGGUCACAUCUCCUCUGCUGUGAAGUGCCUGUUCACGUGUCUCCCAAUUUUGGAUUACAUUCUGGAUAUUAGCCUUCCGUUCUGUGUGUCCCACUGUCUUCUCCCACUUGGUUGCAGACUCCCUCAAGUCUCCCAGAGCGAGUGCCUAUGGCCAGCAUCCGGCAGGUCGCCUCUGCCUCACAGCAGCUGGGACCUGGAGACACGCAGGCAUCCGGGAAGUUCUCUCGUGGACUUUUCAGGGAACUUCACAUUCUCAGGCUUUCUCCAUGGACUGUGACCCUCACCCAGGCGACAGCAGCUGGGCAGCUGGUCUAGAUGAUCCCCACAGGGACCGUGACAGCGCCGGUGGUCCAGCAGAAACUCAUGCAGCAGGGGGCUGUGAGGACAGCAGCGGCAGCCCACUGCAGGCCUCUAGUGUCCCACCAGUGCAGGUGCCAGCCAGCUCCAAUAGCCCAAGCCAGCUGCCCAGUUACGCAUGGGAGUCCCUGCCAUCAGGUUAACGAUGCCCACCAAACCUCCACGCGCCUAGUCAGGAAAGUGGAGCAGCCUCAGCACAAGCCAUGCAUGCAAUCCAGCCCAAACUGGGUAGAUUUUAUUUAUUGUCGAACCUUGGGACAGUGUCUUGUGAGAUGUCCAUCACCUGGAAAGCUGUAAUUGAAACAAAGUAGUGUAACUACUUUAUCACAAUGCAUCCUACACUGUGGGAGCAGGGAUCCUCAUUGAACAUCCCCUUUUCUGUAUUAUGCAACUAGUUGAAAAAGGGACAGUGGCAAUUUUUUCAAAAUAAUGUUAACUUUUAAUUUCUUUUCCAGAGCAAUACUGCUGGGUCUUGAAAGCCAGUUAGGACUUCUCUGUUAGUGUACAGGGUUUUGCACAUCACAGUAGCCCUUUGGCGGUGCAGUGAAUCAUAAAACAGACUUUAUGAAGCUAGAACAUGGUCUUUGACAGAGCCUGCGUCUGGUUGGCUCUUUAUACCUGACUGGAAAGGCAUCAUGGUCCUGAGACAGGAGAGAGACUGACUAAGGUAGAUCAUUUCAGGUCAGAGGAAGCCAAUGUGGUUUUUCCCUUCCCUCCUAAAAUGUGACUUGUUUGAACUUUGAAAGAAAGUGUUUAGUACUGACGCCCACCGAAGCACAUUCACGAUGUGUUCUCGGCUUGUGUCGAGGGGAAAUAAUCUCUGAUUGAGUUUUCAUCCCAAAGAGCAGCCAGUGUGGCUUCCCCAGAGCCUCCCCCGUGUGACUUGCUUCCAUGGAAACAUAGCCUUUGGGACUGCUCCUCUUCCCAGCACAUCCACGGUAUUUCCCAGCUUUUGGAUGAAGCUCGUGUUUGGACUCAGUGCACUGAAGCAGCUCCGGUGAACGUGUGAGGCUCCCGUCUCGGGUGGUGUGGGGCCCCAGAGCACAGCUCAAGUGUUGUUCUGUUGCAGACGUCACUGCUGAGUGCAGGGUAAGGGAUGCAAUUAGGGCAGAGGCUUGUCAUUGCCCCCUUGUUCUCAUGCCCUCCUCAGGGUGAUCUGCAGAGGUGAGAGACCUCCUCGUACCAGGUGGUUUAUUUAUGAACCUACAAGUAUUGCCCACAGAAAUGGGCACAGUGAACUCUUCGUUGCACUCUCGUAAUGCCAAGCUUCUGAGCCAGGAUCUCAUACAUUAGCAGAUACGCUCACUCACGGUUCUGCGUAAAGCCAGGAACUGUCCAAGCUGUUUGAGGGCGCACAGUUGAAGGGCAAACAGGAGGCUGCCUGUUUGGUACUGUUUUUAUUUUUUUACUGAAGCAAAAUAAUAGAAGUGAUUGCAGUGGGUUUGACUGGCUGAUGAUGUCUGCUUACCCGGAAGUUUUCCCCCAAGCAAGAGGUGCAGGCCCCACGACGCCCUCUGUGCCUCUCUUACAUUACUCGGUUCAGGAAAUCAGGCUGAAUUCGGUCUGCAUGUACUAAGGAUUAGUUAGGGCAUACUGAGAGAUUUUUAAUUUUUUUUUUAUUUAACCUGUUCCCUCCCCAUUGUAUCAGUUUGACACAAAGGAAAGCCUUUUGUCAUGUAAUCUUUUGUUUCCCAUCAACUUAUGUGGACAAUAAGAUGGCGAUACUUAGUGCAGCCAACUGGGAGCUCAUUGCUGACCUCUUGGUUGGAAAUUUGGAAAAAGUAGAAAUCAAGUAUUGAAAAAGUGGGAGGAAUUUAACAUUAUAAUUAACUGAAUAUAUCAAAACAGAGCACUCUUUUCUUACAACCAAACUUGCUUUUUCUGGCUUGGCACGUGCUGCCAUGAGCACGCACAGCCUGCAGCAAGGCUAUCUGUGCAUGCCUCGCGUCUGGUUCCUGAGGAAAGUGCCUGCUCUGUUUAUCCUCAAGUGUGUGGAACCGGCAGAGAUAGGAAUCCCUUUGUUCAGCUGAUUUGAAUUUGUGCAUCCUGUUCAUUUUCCACUUGUCCUUCACGGGGGGUCGGCGGCCUCUUUUUAGACAAUGAUAAAUGUUGAGUGCAUGUAUUUUAGAGUAUCCUAGACAUAGCUGCCAGAAUAGAAGUUCUCAUUAAUCUAGACACUAGAAGAGAACUUAGAAACAUCUCUCAGAAGCUUUCUAAGGGAACAGAACUGGGGUUCUGAAUGUUUGCCGUGUGGAAAUCCUGCCCUAUCUUCUUAUGUGAGUGACAGCGACUCUCGUCCCUGAAGUUUGUUUUCUUCACUGAGUCCCUAACAUACAAUAUGGAACAGAAAAGAGUUUUACUUGUAUUGAACCAGCAAACAGCCAUUGAUGAUUACGUAUCUAGGUACUAAAGGUUUUUCCUUUUCACAAUGACUGAUUAUAGCUUUAGCUGGUUAAACCUCCCAUUGUUAACUGUGCUGCUGAGGCAAUAUGCUGUCUGACUCCCACUAGGCUCCUACAGAUAACAUCUCCCUGGAGCCUGGGUCACCGUGGUAAUGGGUGUGUGAGCUGUUUUUCAGGAAUUAGAACUCCUUGUCCACAAUUCAGGCCGGCUGAGACCACCAACUCAUCAACCAGGCCCGCAGAGAUGUCGGAUAGGCGAUCUUUUGACGUCAAGAGGCUAAAAACUCCACCCUCUGAUCAUGCUAACACCGACAUUUUGUGAACAUGGGUCCUAUGAAGAGGCAUGGAGUCUGACUAUGCUUGCACACAUCAUCAAUUACCUCACCUCUCCUCACCUCCAAUCACCUCUCUCCACAUUUCAGACCACCUUGCCCCCAUCCCAUAAAUAUCCCUGAGUCCCUAUUUUCAGGGAAGCGGAUUUGAGGCUCAUGCUCUCGCUUCCUCCCAUGGCUGCCUUGUGAGUAAACCCUCACUCUGCUGCGAUCUGGUCAUCUUGGUGUUUGGCUUUCUGGGCAGUGGGCAAAAACGAACCUGGUUUGGUAACAGUAUCACUCAAUUUAGCAACAUCUAGUUGUCACCACUGUCUUUAAUAGAGUCAUUUAAGUAAAAAUUUUCCUUCAGGGAUAGUGUUUUUUGGUCUUCUGUUUUAAAGGUUAAACUUUUCAUAUUUGAGAAAAUGUGUGUAGGUAGUUGUCAUCCAAGCCUUCUCAGAUCGUCAUUGUUAGCAGAAUCCUGUAUGACUUUGUGAACCAGGGGCCCUACCAGCACAGUAUGCAAUGAUUGAAAGAAAUCUUAGAACAGAAAUAGAGACAGCAGCCAGAACACUAUCAAGCUCCAAUUGGCCACCACGGAAGGCAGUUGUCCUUUAAAUCAGAGCCAUCUGUUCUGUUAAGGCCAGGCUGUUUCUCAAGCCUCCCCCGGGAAGCAGGAGGUCAGAUCUGAGCGCUCCUUCAGAUUUGCUGCCUAGUGAGGCAGAGGCAUUCCUUUUUGCAGUGUUUGUGAUUUUUUGUUAACUGUUGUAACCAGAGAGCUGUUGUGUUUUAAAAUACCAAGGAAGAAGACUGAAAUUGUAAACACUUUGUAAACAUAAUCCUUUGUACUUGAAUAGUAGCAUUUUAAAGGGUGUUGAUAGCUCACCAAACAAAAAGUAUAAUAAAUGGCACAGCUGUUAAGUUUGCAUGUUCUGCUUCAGCUUCAGCGGCCGGGGGUUUGCUGGUUCAGAUCCAGUGUGUGGACCUAGACACCGCUUGGCAAGCCAUGCUGUGGCAGGAGUCCCACAUAUAAAGUAGAGGACGAUGAGCAUGGAUGUUAGCUCAGGGCCAGUCUUCCUCAGCAAAAAAGAGGAGGAUUGGCGGCAGAUGUUAGCUCAGGGCUAAUGUUUCUAAAAAGAAAAAAAAAGAAACAAAAGUAUAGUAAACGGCCUUUUUAUAUGCUUUUUUGUUCUGUCUUUUAUAGAAAACUAGUAUUCAAGUUAAAUAAGAUGCUAGUUUUGUUUAUUUCACUUCUACAAAUUAAAAACUAAACUAAACAGAAACAGGGAACAAGCAGUGUUGGAGGCAGAGGUUUUCUUCUCCUGGCCCUCUCCCCCCAGGCUGUGGGAGGAACGAGAAGGAAUGGAGCGUGUGCAGAGGUCAUGAGUGAAAAAUCACUGUUUACCUCUGCAGGGGCCGCUGCUCCCCACAAGCACACGUGAAGGGAAGCCUGCUGCCCUGUCUCUGGUGACCUGCUGCACGCAGCACCUGGUUCCCUGGAGGCUGGGUCGACCCAGGGCAGUUUCAGACCUCGAACCUUCCUGCUCUCAGAUGCUCCAGCACACACUCCUCUAGCCAGGCGGCCCACAGGUGCUUCUUUCUUUAUCUUCUCUUUUGCUUUCAGACUCCUUUUCCUUUUGUAAAACAAAAGUUUCUGAU